UUGGAGCAUUGGAGGAUGGAGCAAAGGAGUUGAGAGGUUUCAGCUGAAUUCUGUGUCUGUUUUCUUUUUCCCCCAAAUUCCUUCAACCCAAACACGGGUACGAGAUUUAUGGAAGGUAUGUUUCCGAGAGAAAAUUGAUAAAGGAAAAAUGAAGGAGUCAGCUGAGACACUAUCAAAUGCGGUGAUGGGAAGAAAAAAUGAAAAAAAAAAAAAAACAAAAAUGACCUGGAGGGAGGAACCCUAAACUCUGCCUGCGGAAGAGCCCAGUAGUUUCUGAGGAAGGCAGAGCCGAGGAGGAAGACGAAGCUUCUUCCAACUUCUCUCUUCAAACAAUGCGCUUAGCAGACCCAUCUCUUUAUUUUUCUUAAUGGAAUGUUUUGAUAUUCAAAUAUUAUGGACAUGCCAUCACAAUGAAGCACAGAUGAUGAGGUGGAGCAAGGAAAUUGGAUGGUCCAAUGAAUGGUAGCUUAAUUCUCCAGUGGGAAGCUUGAUUAGGGCCUUUCUUAUCUCAUCCAUAGGAUGGUACAAUAAAUGAACCUAAUCCUCCGAGAACAGAACCUUUCAGGCCCUAGCCUGCCAUCCCCUUCAAAUGCAUACUUAGCCAGAUCAGUGGAGACCAAACUGGAACUUGUCAACUACCUUUUCAGUCUAAUGAUGGCAUAGGAUUCAGGACUGGAAGAGCUGCAUAGAUAGGCAAGUCCACUACCAGACAAUUUAUAGGACAGCAUUCCCAAGGAUGACUUCUUUCCCCGAGGAAUCACUGAAGAUAGAUGUGGGUGAUAUGUGCAGUCACGGAAUGGAACCCUCACUUUUUGAUUUUCAUAUCCACUAUGGAGUGAUGAGAGCAAUUUCAAAGAGUUUGAGGAUAUCACAAGAUGAAAUCAUCAAGGUGAGGAUGGAAGUUGUGAAUAUGAAUCAGAAAUUCAGCAACGAAAUAAAUGAAUCAAAGAAGAAAUUGAGGAGAUACAAACAAGAGAGCUAUGCUUAUAGCAAGCAUGCAAUGAAGGCUGUCCAACAGGCAAAGAGCUAAUGUAAUUGGUGUACCAUUUGACCCAGGCUCUUUUGCUUGGACUUCACCAAACCAGUGGACACACUCUUCCUCAUACAAUCAUGUGCCGACAUCCUAUGAGGCAUUUGAUUUGCAAUAUUACAUUGGGGGGACAUUGGGCAAAGAGGGAAAAGUCGCCAAGUAUGAGUACUGACUGGAGCCCCAAUGAGCCUACAUUUACUGUGGCAUGGAGAGCCAUACACUAAGGUGGUGGUGGCAGCAGCAGUGGUGGCGGUGGUGCUGAUGGUGUUGCAGGUGGCCUACUGAAGCUACGCGAAGAUGUACUAGCAUGUGGGUAUGAAGAUGUGCAGGUAAUGUGGAAAAUGUUACAUGGAUCACCAUCAGAGACGACAACGUUUGAAGAGGUUAGCUGUCAUCCUCCUGAGGUUACUAGUCACCCUGCUAAAUGCAGUAAGCGACGCUCUUGGAGGGCCUUCUUUUGAUCCAUCCAUAGAGCAUGUUCCCCAUCAUCUGCCCACUUAGAAUAAAAAUUUUACUUAAUGAGGACGCAUGUAUAUAAAUGGUAAAUGACAUGGUGAUGGGGAAAUGGAGAAACAAGGGUUUCUACUUGUUAUGUAGCUACUUUUUCUCGCAAUGAUACUACCCAGGACUCUCUCUCGCACUAAUAUGAUACAACUAUCAGCAUCUUUGUUAUAUAUCAGGCAUGGAUGAGAAAAAAGAACAGGUAAUCCUCCUUUCCCUUUGUA
This is an RNA transcript of Vitis riparia (riverbank grape), 1755 nucleotides long. RefSeq lists it as uncharacterized. The transcript is spliced from 6 exons. NCBI's taxonomy places the organism in Eukaryota, Viridiplantae, Streptophyta, Magnoliopsida, Vitales, Vitaceae. The record is from RefSeq and is a predicted model, not a curated record.